Molecule: small nuclear RNA, 107 nt
Organism: Cavia aperea (Brazilian guinea pig)
Lineage: Eukaryota; Metazoa; Chordata; Mammalia; Rodentia; Caviidae
Source: Ensembl
GUGCUCACUUCAUCAGCACAUAUACUAAAAUUAGAACCACACACAGAAUAUUAGCAUGGCCCCUGCACAAGGAUGACACACAAAUUCGUGAAACAUUCCAUUUUUUA